AACAGGAUUAGAUACCCUGGUAGUCCACGCUGUAAACGUUGGGAACUAGGUGUGGGGUGCAUUCCACGUGCUCUGCGCCGCAGCUAACGCAUUAAGUUCCCCGCCUGGGGAGUACGGCCGCAAGGCUAAAACUCAAAGGAAUUGACGGGGGCCCGCACAAGCGGCGGAGCAUGUGGCUUAAUUCGAUGCAACGCGAAGAACCUUACCAAGGCUUGACAUGCGCGGGAAGUCGGCAGAGAUGUCGGUGCCUUCGGGUCCGCGUGCAGGUGGUGCAUGGUUGUCGUCAGCUCGUGUCGUGAGAUGUUGGGUUAAGUCCCGCAACGAGCGCAACCCUCGUUCUGUGUUGCCAGCGGGUUAUGCCGGGGACUCACAGGAGACUGCCGGGGUCAACUCGGAGGAAGGUGGGGAUGACGUCAAAUCAUCAUGCCCCUUAUGUCUUGGGCUGCACACAUGCUACAAUGGCCGGUACAAAGGGCUGCGAACCUGUGAGGGGGAGCGAAUCCCAUAAAGCCGGUCUCAGUUCGGAUUGGGGUCCGCAACUCGACCCCAUGAAGUCGGAGUCGCUAGUAAUCGCAGAUCAGCAACGCUGCGGUGAAUACGUUCCCGGGCCUUGUACACACCGCCCGUCACGUCACGAAAGUCGGUAACACCCGAAGCCGGUGGCCCAACCCCUUGUGGGAGGGAGCUGUCGAAGGUGGGAUCGGCGAUUGGGACGAAGUCGUAACAAGGUAACC
This 734-nucleotide ribosomal RNA is filed under the name uncultured bacterium. RNAcentral describes it as "bacterial SSU rRNA". It matches the Rfam family "Bacterial small subunit ribosomal RNA", at positions 771 to 1501 of the family's 1533-position model. The record is from RNAcentral.